Molecule: long non-coding RNA, 850 nt
Filed under: Homo sapiens (human)
Lineage: Eukaryota; Metazoa; Chordata; Mammalia; Primates; Hominidae
Description: non-protein coding lnc-SERPINI1-23:15
Source: RNAcentral
CAGAUUCUUAGUGGACAGCUCUCAUAUCCCCUCCAGGGAAAAUGAUGAAAAAUGUCUUCAGAAAAAUAGCUUUAUGAAGGCAAGAGGACUUUUUGCACCUGCAAGACAUGUCUGAAAGCUCCUCAGGUCAAAACACAAGUAGUCAAGAGAUUUGUCCAUCUAAUUCAUCAUACUACUCUGAUCCAAGUGAGACCCACACUGGGUCAGCUCCAUCAAGGAGAAGAACAUUCCACCCACGUUUGGAUUCUGGAAUAUCAUCCUUGCUUCCAUCAGAUUCUUGUAAGUACCUCACUUGGCACAAGGUAGACAUGACGUUCAAGGAAGUCAACUGCGUUGCCCAAGAGUAAGAGAAGGAAUCUCUGAAGAAGAGCAACUUUUCAGACAGGUAGAGUGUGCCUUGCUCCCAAGGAAAAGAGUUCUUGAAAAAAACAAAUGGGAAACAUGGCUACAAGAAAACUGGGAAGACUGCAAGAAUUUGAACAUUUCAUUUCAGGGUUUGGGGGAUCCUUACCAAGUUGAAAAUUUUAACAGAAUUCUUAGAAGACUAAUUCGAGUUGAAACCCUCUGGUUAGUGGAUAAUUCACUGGUGGACUUAAGUGCCAUAAGAUUGCCAAGGGAUUGCUAGAGAACCCCUUUUACAGGGAGCUGCUAUUUGCUUCAGCAGGCAGAAUGCGUAGGUGGAGUGAGCUUUGGUGGCAAUGAGAGGGGCCAACAGAGGUCCUCAGGAGUGAAUUAGAUGAAGGAAAUUGAGCAUCCACAAAAAGGAAAGGUAAUUUCUAGACCAAGUUAAUAUAUAAUUCUGAGCAUUGGCUGAGAGAAGGUCACAGAAAGAGGCCAUUAUAGCUGUACA